GAGGGUACAGCUCAGUGGUAGAGCAUGUGCUUAGCAUGCACGAGGUCCUGGGUUCAAUCCCCAGUGCCUCCA
Molecule: transfer RNA, 72 nt
Filed under: Camelus bactrianus (Bactrian camel)
Lineage: Eukaryota; Metazoa; Chordata; Mammalia; Artiodactyla; Camelidae
Also listed under: 2 other names
Rfam family: tRNA
About the family: Transfer RNA (tRNA) molecules are approximately 80 nucleotides in length. Their secondary structure includes four short double-helical elements and three loops (D, anti-codon, and T loops).
Source: Rfam by way of RNAcentral